RNAcentral lists this ribosomal RNA (251 nucleotides) under uncultured prokaryote. RNAcentral's name for it is "partial 16S rRNA". It matches the Rfam family "Bacterial small subunit ribosomal RNA", at positions 525 to 775 of the family's 1533-position model. The record is from RNAcentral.
ACGGAGGGUGCAAGCGUUAUUCGGAUUUAUUGGGUUUAAAGGGUGCGUAGGCGGCUUUUUAAGUCAGUGGUGAAAUCCUGUCGCUCAACGCUAGAAUUGCCAUUGAUACUGAAAAGCUUGAGUUCAGUUGAGGUAAGCGGAAUGCGUAGUGUAGCGGUGAAAUGCGUAGAUAUCAGGCGGAACACCGGUUGCGAAGGCAGCUAUCUAGACGGACACUGACGCUGAUACGCGAAAGCGUGGGGAUCGAACAG